This is a long non-coding RNA of Cryptomeria japonica (Japanese cedar), 429 nucleotides long. RefSeq lists it as uncharacterized. The transcript is spliced from 4 exons. The record is from RefSeq and is a predicted model, not a curated record. NCBI's taxonomy places the organism in Eukaryota, Viridiplantae, Streptophyta, Pinopsida, Cupressales, Cupressaceae.
AAGCAUCAACGGUAAGUUCGCCAACUAUACAAGUUUGUUUAAAAUCAGUCAAGAUCUUCAUUGCUCUGUAUUUUCAAACCAGUCAGGAUCUUUCUUUUUUUCCUUGUAAUGGACAGUUCUUCAUAUUAGAUUCAAUUUUCAGAUUUUAACGUAUAGGUUUGCGGAAGAGUCCAUGACAGAGCUAACAGAUGACAAAAACUCUUCAUAAUAGCCUCUAUUUCCAGCUUUGUAGAAGAGGGCAGAACAUUUCUAAUAGCUAUAGAUUCUCUUAUUUCAACAUCUAAUUUCAGGUUUGAACACAUGGAUCUGCAGAAGAGAGUUAAACAGGGCCAACAAACAAAGAGAGUUCAUAUUUUUUGCAAACUCCAGGUGGGUUUUCCUGUUCAUUUUGAAUUUUUUUUGAAUAAGAACAUGCAAUCAAAAUUUGAA